This 496-nucleotide ribosomal RNA is filed under the name uncultured bacterium. Its description in RNAcentral is "partial 16S ribosomal RNA". It matches the Rfam family "Bacterial small subunit ribosomal RNA", at positions 29 to 507 of the family's 1533-position model. The record is from RNAcentral.
AUGCACGCUGGCGGCGUGCCUCAUACAUGCAAGUCGCGCGCACAGACGAGGAGCUUGCUCCUUCGACGUUAGCGGCGGACGGGUGAGUAACACGUAGGUAACCUACCUAUAAGACUGGGAUAACUUCGGGAAACCGGAGCUAAUACCGGAUAAUAUUUCGAACCGCAUGGUUCGAUAGUGAAAGAUGGCUUUGCUAUCACUUAUAGAUGGACCUGCGCCGUAUUAGCUAGUUGGUAAGGUAACGGCUUACCAAGGCAACGAUACGUAGCCGACCUGAGAGGGUGAUCGGCCACACUGGAACUGAGACACGGUCCAGACUCCUACGGGAGGCAGCAGUAGGGAAUCUUCCGCAAUGGGCGAAAGCCUGACGGAGCAACGCCGCGUGAGUGAUGAAGGUCUUCGGAUCGUAAAACUCUGUUAUUAGGGAAGAACAAACGUGUAAGUAACUGUGCACGUCUUGACGGUACCUAAUCAGAAAGCCACGGCUAACUACGUG